Trematomus bernacchii (emerald rockcod) is the source of this 271-nucleotide long non-coding RNA. RefSeq lists it as uncharacterized. The transcript has 3 exons. The record is from RefSeq and is a predicted model, not a curated record. Lineage: Eukaryota; Metazoa; Chordata; Actinopteri; Perciformes; Nototheniidae.
AAUGCAAACAACUCAACAGCCCUGCAACACAUUUCUAUAAAUGUUCAGAUUUGGUGGGAGAAACAUGUCAGAGGAUUUGUAUAAAAGUGUUUCCAAUAUGUUGUCCAUCUCAGAUGCUGUAAUCAUGACUGUGCUUGUCUUGACAAGAGGCCUGCCUACAAAGGAAAAGUACCACUGCCUCCAAAUGAGGAAAGAACCUUUUCUCAUCAUCCAGUCUCUCAAGAGUCCCUGACUUCAAAUGAUUUUCUCCUGCAAAAAUCCACCUCUCUUC